GGAUUGUGGCUCAGUGGUAGAGUGCUUUCCUUGUACCUGCGAGGCCCUGGGUUCAAUCCUCAGCACCA
Molecule: transfer RNA, 68 nt
Filed under: Marmota monax (woodchuck)
Lineage: Eukaryota; Metazoa; Chordata; Mammalia; Rodentia; Sciuridae
Description: tRNA.Thr
Source: RNAcentral